GUAAUGGUUAGCACUCUGGACUUU
Molecule: non-coding RNA, 24 nt
Filed under: Drosophila melanogaster (fruit fly)
Lineage: Eukaryota; Metazoa; Arthropoda; Insecta; Diptera; Drosophilidae
Also listed under: 1 other name
Source: RNAcentral